This is a microRNA precursor of Sorghum bicolor (sorghum), 151 nucleotides long. Lineage: Eukaryota; Viridiplantae; Streptophyta; Magnoliopsida; Poales; Poaceae. The record is from Rfam.
AGCAUAAGAGGCACUCAGAUUAGCCAGGAAUGAUUUGCCCGUGGAACUUGUCAUGGCAGCAUGCAGUCAGCAGGAGCUAACGCGAGAGGUUGCAUGCAUGCAUGGUGCUACAGGGCAAAUCAUCCCUGGCUAUCAAAGAUGCCUCUUACUU